GACGAACGCUGGCGGCGUGCUUAACACAUGCAAGUCGAGCGGUAAGGCCCUUUCGGGGGUACACGAGCGGCGAACGGGUGAGUAACACGUGGGUGACCUGCCCUCAGCUUUGGGAUAAGCCUGGGAAACCGGGUCUAAUACUGGAUAUGACUCCAUGACGCAUGUUGUGGGGUGGAAAGCCUUGUGCGGCUGAGGAUGGGCCCGCGGCCUAUCAGCUUGUUGGUGGGGUGAUGGCCUACCAAGGCGACGACGGGUAGCCGGCCUGAGAGGGCGACCGGCCACACUGGGACUGAGACACGGCCCAGACUCCUACGGGAGGCAGCAGUGGGGAAUCUUGCGCAAUGGGCGAAAGCCUGACGCAGCGACG
This 367-nucleotide ribosomal RNA is filed under the name uncultured bacterium. RNAcentral's name for it is "bacterial SSU rRNA". It matches the Rfam family "Bacterial small subunit ribosomal RNA", at positions 28 to 396 of the family's 1533-position model. The record is from RNAcentral.